RNAcentral lists this ribosomal RNA (466 nucleotides) under uncultured bacterium. RNAcentral describes it as "partial 16S ribosomal RNA". It matches the Rfam family "Bacterial small subunit ribosomal RNA", at positions 339 to 795 of the family's 1533-position model. The record is from RNAcentral.
CUACGGGACGCUGCAGUGAGGAAUUUUGCGCAAUGGGGGGAACCCUGACGCAGCAACGCCGCGUGAGUGAUGAAGGCUUUCGGGUCGUAAAGCUCUGUCAAGUGGGAAGAACCUAUGCAGUGUUAAUAUCACUGUAUACUGACGGUACCACUGAAGGAAGCACCGGCUAACUCCGUGCCAGCAGCCGCGGGUAAUACGGGGGGUGCAAGCGUUAUUCGGAAUCAUUGGGCGUAAAGGGCACGUAGGCGGCUUGGUAAGUCAGAUGUGAAAGCCCGGGGCUUAACCCCGGAAGUGCAUUUGAUACUGUCAGGCUUGAGUAUGGGAGAGGGAAGUGGAAUUCCUGGUGUAGAGGUGAAAUUCGUAGAUAUCAGGAGGAACACCGGUGGCGAAGGCGACUUCCUGGACCAAUACUGACGCUGAGGUGCGAAGGCGUGGGUAGCAAACAGGAUUAGAUACCCCAGUAGUC